Molecule: ribosomal RNA, 397 nt
Filed under: uncultured bacterium
Lineage: Bacteria
Description: partial 16S ribosomal RNA
Rfam family: Bacterial small subunit ribosomal RNA
Source: RNAcentral
AUACGUGGGUGGCAAGCGUUGUCCGGAUUUAUUGGGCGUAAAGCGAGCGCAGGCGGUUUCUUAAGUCUGAUGUGAAAGCCCCCGGCUCAACCGGGGAGGGUCAUUGGAAACUGGGAGACUUGAGUGCAGAAGAGGAGAGUGGAAUUCCAUGUGUAGCGGUGAAAUGCGUAGAUAUAUGGAGGAACACCAGUGGCGAAGGCGACUCUCUGGGCUGUAACUGACGCUGAGGAUCGAAAGCGUGGGGAGCAAACAGGAUUAGAUACCCUGGUAGUCCACGCCGUAAACGAUGAGUGCUAAGUGUUGGAGGGUUUCCGCCCUUCAGUGCUGCAGCUAACGCAUUAAGCACUCCGCCUGGGGAGUACGACCGCAAGGUUGAAACUCAAAUGAAUUGACGGGG